AUUUGCGGCCCCAAGUCAGGCGAGACCACCCGCC
RNAcentral lists this ribosomal RNA (34 nucleotides) under Curcuma phaeocaulis. RNAcentral describes it as "partial 26S ribosomal RNA". Lineage: Eukaryota; Viridiplantae; Streptophyta; Magnoliopsida; Zingiberales; Zingiberaceae. The record is from RNAcentral.